GAAUCCAUACAGGAGAUUCUACC
This 23-nucleotide small nuclear RNA is filed under the name Arabidopsis thaliana (thale cress). RNAcentral's name for it is "snRNA_06861". Lineage: Eukaryota; Viridiplantae; Streptophyta; Magnoliopsida; Brassicales; Brassicaceae. The record is from RNAcentral.